CAGCCGCCGCGGUAAUACAUAGGGUGCAAGCGUUGUCCGGAAUUAUUGGGCGUAAAGAGCUCGUAGGUCGUUUGUUACGUCGGAUGUGAAAACCUGAGGCUCAACCUCAGGCCUGCAUUCGAUACGGGCAAACUAGAGUUUGGUAGGGGAGACUGGAAUUCCUGGUGUAGCGGUGGAAUGCGCAGAUAUCAGGAGGAACACCAAUGGCGAAGGCAGGUCUCUGGGCCAAUACUGACACUGAGGAGCGAAAGUCUGGGGAGCGAACAGGAUUAGAUACCCUGGUAGUCCAGACCGUAAACGGUGGGCACUAGUUGUGGGAACCUUCCACGGUUUCUGCGACGCAGCUAACGCAUUAAGUGCCCCGCCUGGGGGGUACGAUCGCAAGAUUAAAACUCAAAUGAAUUGACGG
Molecule: ribosomal RNA, 409 nt
Filed under: actinobacterium enrichment culture clone LiUU-18-763
Lineage: Bacteria; Bacillati; Actinomycetota; Actinomycetes
Also listed under: 1 other name
Description: bacterial SSU rRNA
Rfam family: Bacterial small subunit ribosomal RNA
Source: RNAcentral